Molecule: ribosomal RNA, 378 nt
Filed under: uncultured bacterium
Lineage: Bacteria
Description: bacterial SSU rRNA
Rfam family: Bacterial small subunit ribosomal RNA
Source: RNAcentral
AUACGUAGGGUGCGAGCGUUGUCCGGAAUUACUGGGCGUAAAGAGCUCGUAGGUGGUUUGUCGCGUCGUUUGUGUAAGUCCACAGCUUAACUGUGGGACUGCAGGCGAUACGGGCAUAACUUGAGUGCUGUAGGGGAGACUGGAAUUCCUGGUGUAGCGGUGAAAUGCGCAGAUAUCAGGAGGAACACCGAUGGCGAAGGCAGGUCUCUGGGCAGUAACUGACGCUGAGGAGCGAAAGCAUGGGUAGCGAACAGGAUUAGAUACCCUGGUAGUCCAUGCCGUAAACGGUGGGCGCUAGGUGUGAGUCCCUUCCACGGGAUUUGUGCCGUAGCUAACGCAUUAAGCGCCCCGCCUGGGGAGUACGGCCGCAAGGCUAAA